This is a long non-coding RNA of Rattus rattus (black rat), 855 nucleotides long. RefSeq lists it as uncharacterized. NCBI's taxonomy places the organism in Eukaryota, Metazoa, Chordata, Mammalia, Rodentia, Muridae. The transcript has 4 exons. The record is from RefSeq and is a predicted model, not a curated record.
CCUGCAGACGGGGCAUGCGCCAUACGGGGAUACGUCAGAGGGUCGGUACGACUCUAUCCAGGCUGGUGUCUGAGAUCCUGUGUCCUGGGCUCUGCCCCUCUCUCAGAGCUCAGCCUCCUUCCAGCUUGCUUUUGCUCCCGUCAGUGUUUCUCAAAAUGCGUUCCUCAAAUCCGACGCUACAUGAUUCCCAGGGAAUGGGUCCCGUUUCUAAGCCAGUUAGGGAAAUACUGCGCCACCCAGCUAUUCUCCUUGCUGCCAGCUUUACAGUUUAUUCGGAUGAGUCCCACAAGAGAAACUGCACUUUCCUGGGUCCUCAAAGCUUCAGGUCAGAUAACAUCUUCUUUCUCCUCUUUUAUUUCCUAUGUAGCCAUGGAUGGCCCGGAACUCACUCUGUAGGCCAGACUAGCCUCAAACUUACAGAGAUCUGUCUGCCUAUGUGUCUGAGGGCUGGUGUUAAAGAACAGGGUGAGAUUGACUUCGGUGCUGGGAGGGUAGUUCUCCAGCUGGAUCAGGAUUGUGAACAGUUGGGGACCCAGGAAGUUGACCAGGGCGAUGACUCCAGGAGGCAGUGGGAGCACUCUCCUCCUCCCACGGUCCACACCAGAAAAAGCAAACAGUAAAGAAAGGAAUUUAACUGUCCAGUACCUCCUUGUUGUCCUGUGAGUACUUGGUGGCCCAGAAGAUGGCGCUGAUGGCUCCGACCACUAGGAGUACAAUGAGGACGUUGGUACGCAGCUGCUGUCGCGCCACCUGCCUCGGGCGAUGCCACCGCUGCCAGCAGGAGUUCUUCACGCCCUCGGGCUCCCGCAGUUUCCUGCAGGACCAUGGUGAUGGGGCGCCCUUGAGUCAUCCAUC